RNAcentral lists this ribosomal RNA (471 nucleotides) under uncultured bacterium. RNAcentral's name for it is "partial 16S ribosomal RNA". It matches the Rfam family "Bacterial small subunit ribosomal RNA", at positions 28 to 507 of the family's 1533-position model. The record is from RNAcentral.
GACGAACGCUGGCGGCGUGCUUAACACAUGCAAGUCGAACGAUGAAGCCUAGCUUGCUAGGUGGAUUAGUGGCGAACGGGUGAGUAAUACGUGAGUAACCUACCUUUAACUCUGGGAUAAGCCUGGGAAACUGGGUCUAAUACCGGAUACGACCAAUCUCCGCAUGGGGUGUUGGUGGAAAGCGUUAUGUAGUGGUUAUAGAUGGGCUCACGGCCUAUCAGCUUGUUGGUGAGGUAACGGCUCACCAAGGCGACGACGGGUAGCCGGCCUGAGAGGGUGACCGGCCACACUGGGACUGAGAAACGGCCCAGACUCCUACGGGAGGCAGCAGUGGGGAAUAUUGCACAAUGGGCGCAAGCCUGAUGCAGCGACGCCGCGUGAGGGAUGACGGCCUUCGGGUUGUAAACCUCUGUUAGCAGGGAAGAAGAGAAAUUGACGGUACCUGCAGAGAAAGCGCCGGCUAACUACGUG